Molecule: long non-coding RNA, 919 nt
Organism: Girardinichthys multiradiatus
Lineage: Eukaryota; Metazoa; Chordata; Actinopteri; Cyprinodontiformes; Goodeidae
Exons: 2
Source: RefSeq, a predicted model, not a curated record
GAGAGCAAGAAAACACACACACACACACACACACACACACACACACACACACACACACACAAAACAAUCUCCCUAAUCAUUCAGUUUGCAUUCACAAAGACUUAGUUUUUUUCUCAUUCCUCCUCUUCCCCUCCUCCUUGUGUUUUGUAAUUGGCUCGCUUCCUGGUGCAGUGGCAGACAGCAGCCUCGAAAGCGGCUGCCCAGUCGGCCCAUUGAUCUUUCAUCAGCCCGUAGAGUUAAAGCUGAAGGCAUGAGGGGACAAGCUGGAGAGGCAGCCCCUCGUUUUAUGGCAGCCCGCUGGAGCCUGCCGAGGAUUGUUCCCUGCUUCCUCAUAUUGUUUUUCAUUUAGACCGGGUGCAGCGCCGUGCUGCUCGGAGGAGAAUGAGGUGGAGUGGCGCAGACAUUUAGGGGAGCACGUAACAGCCACAGUCUGGAGCUCAGAGGUUUCCACGCAUUCAAUUUGUCCUGGAAAUCGGAGCUUCGAUCUGGGAAUGAAGUCACAUCCGAGUAAAGCAACUUCCAUUUGCAAGUGGAAAUUACAAUGAGAUUUGUUAAUUGCUGUGAUGCUAAUUACUAUUAGUAAUACUAUACAAUAACGUUGUACUUCUCUCCAUUGUAUGCAUUCACAAAAUACAUGUUUGUAAAAUAUGUAUUACCACACUUUGUGUGCCACUGGUUUACUGAGAUGCAAACUUGUCAGAAGUGCUAAAAAAAUAGUUUUCCAGCUUUCACUGCAUAUCUAUAUGGCAGAGGCCAUAUUGGAUCCUGAAAUAAGGGCUGCUCAGAGAGUUUUGGCUUUCCUAGAUGGACUACAAGGGGCAUUCCUGUUGUAUUGUUUUAUACAUAGGGAUCAGUUUGGAAUGUAUGUAACAUUGAAUUUGUGAAUAUGAUUGGAUUAAAUUGACUUUAAACUCCUGAA